This is a small RNA of Firmicutes bacterium CAG:95, 168 nucleotides long. It matches the Rfam family "Clostridiales-1 RNA". The record is from Rfam. Lineage: Bacteria; Bacillati; Bacillota.
AGAUACCAGGGUCAAAAGGUCUAAGCCCACGUGAGCUUGCUCAUAAGUGGGUGAAAGACCUUAGGACCCGCCCCGAUAUGAGCAUAAAAGUGGGAUGAUAAUCCCACGAUAUGCGAAUAUUGGGUAGAAUUGUGGGAGUGCGUAGCACGAAGCAAUUCGUAGGCAUCA